UUGUUUUUCUUAGGUUUUUAUUGUACAUUUUUGCCUGAAUUUAUCAUAUAGCUUAUUUUGUGAUUACAUUUUCAUUGAAUUUUCACAAAACACAAAAAUGAACACCAACAAACAGAACCAAUCAACACAGUCAACACCAUACAAAGGCAGCAGGUAGCCUGGUGGUUAAGAGCUUUGGGCCAGCAACCCAGUAAGGUUACUUGUUUGAAUCCCCAGGCCGCAAAGGUGGAAAAAUAUUUUGUUCUGCAAUUGAUUAAGGCAAUUAACCCCCAACAACUGCUCCCUGAGCACCGAUGACGUGGAUUCAGAGGGUUUGGAUUAAAUGCGGAAAAUACAUUGAGUUGAAUUCAUUCAGUUGUGCAACUGGCUAGGUAUCCCCCCUUUCCUUACAAAGAUCUCCAGCCCAUGAUACAUCAUAAAGAGAAAAAUAAAAUGUAAUGUACUGAAAGAUUUGUCAUGAGGACAGGUCAAGUCUCCCUCCCACACCAACAGCAUGUUUGUCAUGAGGACAGGUCAAGUCUCCCUCCCACACCAACAGCAUGUUUGUCAUGAGGACAGGUCAAGUCUCCCUCCCACACCAACAGCAUGUUUGUCAUGAGGACAGAUCAAGUCAUCCACCCACACCAACAGCAUGUUUGUCAUGAGGACAGGUCAAGUCUCCCUCCCACACCAACAGCAUGUUUGUCAUGAGGACAGAUCAAGUCAUCCACCCACACCAACAGCAUGUUUGUCAUGAGGACAGGUCAAGUCUCCCUCCCACACCAACAGCAUGUUUGUCAUGAGGACAGGUUAAGUCUCCCUCCCACACCAACAGCAUGUUUGUCAUGAGGACAGGUCAAGUCUCCCUCCCACACCAACAGCAUAUUUGUCAUGAGGACAGGUUAAGUCUCCCUCCCACACCAACAGCAUGUUUGUCAUGAGGACAGGUUAAGUCUCCCUCCCACACCAACAGCAUGUUUGUCAUGAGGACAGGUUAAGUCUCCCUCCCACACCAACAGCAUGUUUGUCAUGAGGACAGGUCAAGUCUCCCUCCCACACCAACAGCAUGUUUGUCAUGAGGACAGGUCAAGUCUCCCUCCCACACCAACAGCAUGUUUGUCAUGAGGACAGGUCAAGUCUCCCUCCCACACCAACAGCAUGUUUGUCAUGAGGACAGGUCAAGUCUCCCUCCCACACCAACAGCAUGUUUGUCAUGAGGACAGGUUAAGUCUCCCUCCCACACCAACAGCAUGUUUGUCAUGAGGACAGGUCAAGUCUCCCUCCCACACCAACAGCAUGUUUGUCAUGAGGACAGGUCAAGUCUCCCUCCCACACCAACAGCAUGUUUGUCAUGAGGACAGGUUAAGUCUCCCUCCCACACCAACAGCAUGUUUGUCAUCCCCUCAAAAUAGCAAAGAAAGAUGAACAGAAGGGAUUUUUGGGAACAGAUUCUCUUUUACAUUUUACACAGAUUAGCAAUUAAACCAAGUUAAAAGCAGGGUACAUAAAUG
This is a long non-coding RNA of Oncorhynchus keta (chum salmon), 1490 nucleotides long. RefSeq lists it as uncharacterized. The transcript is spliced from 9 exons. Lineage: Eukaryota; Metazoa; Chordata; Actinopteri; Salmoniformes; Salmonidae. The record is from RefSeq and is a predicted model, not a curated record.